UACCUGUGUUUCAAUCAGCAGGUUAACGAGGAGGAGAGUGAUCGAAGAUUCGGCGGAUGCUCUCCCGUACACUCCCGGUGCGAGAUAUACCGGCAAAUAUGCAGGUGACUGCAAAACAAAUACGGUAUAAGGGAGAA
RNAcentral lists this non-coding RNA (137 nucleotides) under Roseburia intestinalis L1-82. RNAcentral describes it as "glmS glucosamine-6-phosphate activated ribozyme". It matches the Rfam family "glmS glucosamine-6-phosphate activated ribozyme aptamer", at positions 20 to 158 of the family's 167-position model. From Rfam's summary of the family: This entry contains a glucosamine-6-phosphate activated ribozyme that is found in the mRNA for GlmS. GlmS is an enzyme that uses fructose-6-phosphate and glutamine to generate glucosamine-6-phosphate. Lineage: Bacteria; Bacillati; Bacillota; Clostridia; Lachnospirales; Lachnospiraceae. The record is from RNAcentral.